Molecule: long non-coding RNA, 1098 nt
Organism: Esox lucius (northern pike)
Lineage: Eukaryota; Metazoa; Chordata; Actinopteri; Esociformes; Esocidae
Source: Ensembl
GUAUAACAAACACAGGGUUAGUGGUGAUACAGUCUCCUCAUUAUGUGACAGUAACUGAGGGGGAAACUGUUCACAUCCAGUGCUGCUGGAAUAAAAAUUUGACGAGGGUCACAGUUAAUUGGAAGAACAAUGCAGCAAAUACGUAUGAGCUUGUCAAUAAGAGUCAGUGUCAGAAGAGCGCUUCUGAACAGAACGUAUCCUGUUGUUCAAAUCUGACCAUCUCAAACCUGAAUAGAAGUGACUCCGGGACAUACACCUGUAAAGUAUCUUCAGAGAUACCAGUUCUUCAACAGUCUGUGGGGAAUGGGACACAUCUUACAGUAACUUCAAAAAAUGAUGGAAUCAGUGGGGUGAAUGAAUCUUCUGAGGUCAUAGUUCCUUACUUCUGGAGGUGUCUCCCAGUCCUUACACUGGUAGCCAUAUUCUGCUACUACAAGUGCAAGAAAAGCCAAACUGUAGUUAAGAGACCAGAGGACACGGCCUUCAGAGAGGAAAGAGACACAAACCAACCGGUGACUUCCUGUUGAUGACAAUGGACCUCAGCCUUGACACCACUCCACUGCAGAACAUCACACCUUGUCUCAGUCGCUCAUCGCUGUUAGUUCACCACUGAUGAACUGAUCCUUAGUGACCACUGCUGUUAGGAGCCUUACUGAAGCAUUAGCACUCACGCUACCAACACAUUUCCUGUAUAUUUACAAUCUAUUUGGUUCACCAGACAAUACCAGUCUAGACAUUAGACCCAAGGUCUCUUUGCAGUCCCUGUUCAGAAUGAAGGAUGAGAGGAGCACAGUGUUGAAUAUAUACAUGACUGCAUGGAGCUCCUUGCCACCACAGGAAACUCGCGCUAGCAUAUAUGACAUAUAUAAAAAUUGUAUAAAACAUAAUCUAGUAACACGAUGGAGGCUGUGAGGAGACAGAGGCUAUUUGCAUCUAUGUUUUUGUAUUGUGAAUUUUAUAAUGUGGUUGUGUGGUGAUUGCUUUUGCUGUGGCUAAUAGGGAUUCUAACAAAAAUGAUAUAUUUUCAUUAAAUAAUGAUUGCAGUCCAGAAGCAUGCGCCAGUUUCUGAGUUAGGAAAAAUAUUCUGUUGAACAUGCA